This is a non-coding RNA of Ciona savignyi (Pacific transparent sea squirt), 82 nucleotides long. The record is from Rfam. NCBI's taxonomy places the organism in Eukaryota, Metazoa, Chordata, Ascidiacea, Phlebobranchia, Cionidae.
GGUAGCAUGGCCGAGCGAUCUAAGGCGCUGGUUUAAGGCACCAGUCAUUUCGAUGGCGUGGGUUCGAAUCCCACUGCUGCCA